Molecule: ribosomal RNA, 481 nt
Filed under: uncultured bacterium
Lineage: Bacteria
Description: bacterial SSU rRNA
Rfam family: Bacterial small subunit ribosomal RNA
Source: RNAcentral
GGACGAACGCUGGCGGCGUGCCUAACACAUGCAAGUCGAGCGGGGACAUGGAAGUAGCAAUACGGAAAUGUCUAGCGGCGGACGGGUGAGUAACGCGUGAGCAACCUGUCCCAGUCAGGGGGAUAACGAGCCGAAAGGCUCCCUAAUACCGCAUGAGACCACAGCAUCACAUGGUGCAGGGGUCAAAGGAGAGAUCCGGACUGGGGUGGGCUCGCGUCUGAUUAGCUAGUUGGUGAGGUAAAGGCCCACCAAGGCGACGAUCAGUAGCCGACCUGAGAGGGUGAUCGGCCACAUUGGAACUGAGACACGGUCCAAACUCCUACAGGAGGCAGCAGUGGGGAAUAUUGGGCAAUGGGGGAAACCCUGACCCAGCAACGCCGCGUGAAGGAAGAAGGUCUUCGGAUCGUAAACUUCUAUCCUUGGUGAAGAUAAUGACGGUAGCCGAGAAGGAAGCCCCGGCUAACUACGUGCCAGCAGCCGC